AUUUCCUAUAACCUAGAACUCUCAGACCGGGCAUUCCAUCCUUGUGGCUUGGGGACUGAGUGGUCAGAGGCUCGUUGGGCUCCAUCGGGUUACGGUAGUGGAGAAUAGACCAUCGCUUGGCUAUGACAAGUGACAAAGGGCUGGUGGGGAAAUUGCCCAUUGCAUCAAUUGAGUAGGAGUGUAAGGCACACAUAAGAAUUAUAGGAACUUACUCCUAUGUUAGCUGAUGCAGCUUCUCCACAUUCCCUUCUCAUCCACUAUGUUAUUUUUGAGUCACAUGUUCUGAAAAUAGUUGCUUUUAAAAAAGAAAUAUGUAGGGUGCUCUUGUUGAAAAAUUUUGAGGCCUAAUAAUUAGAGUCUAAUGGUGGAAUUCCAGGCAUUGAAACAAGGAGUUAGGAGAUAUUUUGGGUUUGGAUGGUUCUCCCCCAAACUUCUUGAAUUAUGUGAUGCAAGAGUAAGCUUAUUCUAACUGGUGCUGUGGCCCCUUCUUCUUCUGCACCUGCCUGGUUCUGCUUCGACCCUUACUAUGUACAUACCAAGGUAUUUAUGAAUAAUGCACCAUAAACAUGGCUAGAGAAAUUCUUUUUCUCUUAAACAGGACAUCAUGAAAGCAAGCAAAAAAUUUGUUAUUAUACACUAAAGUUGUAGAAAGAUGAUGAAUGUAUAAUUUGGUAGACUAUAAAAGCCAUGGAAAUAUUGGUGAUUGGGUUAAAAUCAUGCUUUAUUGCUCUUAGCCUGGGAACUUGGGCAAAAGCUUUUUGAACCAGGAAAAUGUCACUGUUUUAAGAGAUCACACAUCUGAUCAGCAAUUACGUGGAGCCUUUGUCAGUUACCUUCGUUGAGCCCAACUCUUUUCCCAAGACAUAAGGAAAACAUCUUGAAAGACAAGACGGCCAGCUAUGGCAGUUCAUUUCAAGUCUCCAACAGACUUUCCACGUGCUUUACCUUUCAAGACUGUAUUAAUUAUCUUCCAGAUUUUAGACAUACAAAAAUUUGCAUGGAUUAGACUUUUAAAGCAGAUUAUACUGUGUUCAGUUUGGUGGUCAGAG
This 1049-nucleotide long non-coding RNA is filed under the name Equus caballus (horse). RNAcentral's name for it is "lncRNA (ENSECAG00000057367.1)". Lineage: Eukaryota; Metazoa; Chordata; Mammalia; Perissodactyla; Equidae. The record is from RNAcentral.